Molecule: long non-coding RNA, 1080 nt
Organism: Mustela lutreola (European mink)
Lineage: Eukaryota; Metazoa; Chordata; Mammalia; Carnivora; Mustelidae
Exons: 2
Source: RefSeq, a predicted model, not a curated record
AGUGACAGGCAGAGAGAGAAGCAGGCUGCCCGCUGAGCAGGACCCUGGGAUCAUGACCUGAGCCAAAGGAAGAUGCUUAAUGGACUGAGCCACUCGGGCGCCCCUGAAGAAUCCUUUAUUAUGGGCAAGAAAGAGGUUGAGAAGUCAAUUUGGCCACAAACACUGACCAUUUCUUCUAGAGAAUGAAGGCUAACUCAGAGUAGGGCCAAGAACCACAGAGACCAACUUCCAGAGAAUAGGAUUAAGCGCUAAUUAAGGAAUUGGCUUGGUACCAGAAUUGCUUUCUGCACUGGUUUCAUCCCCUUUUUGAACGAGAGCAUCUAAUGCAGUUAUCCUGUGCCUACCUCCUUACUAUCUGUGGGGUUUGGAGGGGAUGACAACUUGUCUCUUUUAGUCACAGACCUUUAAUUAAGACAAGAAGGACCCUCUCAAAGCAACCACACCCAAGGGGCCUCCUCUUCUCAGGACCUGAUGUAGAUACUGAGGGCCUGGCCAAGACUUCAGGGGCCUUGGAGGGCCUUUGUCUGGAAUCUGAGCUGUCCCUGUGACCCACUUUGGCCCACAGAAAGCAGUGACAGUGAUACUGUGUGAUUCCUGAGGAGAGGGCCCAGGGAGCCUUUCAGCCUCCACCUGGGUCUGUUACAACACUUGCUCUAGAACAAGGCAACCAUCAUGUAAGAAGCUGGAUUCCUCUGAGACUGAGAUGCUAUGGAGAGGCCAAGCUAGCCAUGGGGAAAAUUCACAGGAGAAAGCAAGACAGUCAGCCAGACUGGGAUUGUUCUUGCCAUCCCAGCUGAUACCAGCUAUGAGGGUCAAGAUGCUGCCAUCUUGUUUGUACAAAUGAACCUGCAUUUGACUCUCGCCCUUUCCACCUUUUGACGGUAGCCAUGUGAGACCCCUUCCACCGGCCACCAAGUGACCCCUGAGCCAGUCAAUCCACAGAACUGUAAUAAAUAAAAAAUGAUUUCUUUUCGACAACUGAAAUUUGGGCUUUGUUAUACAGCAACAGAUAACCGAAACGUAAAAAACAUUGUGUGUUUUAAUUUAAAAAAGUGCAAAUUAAAAUGUAAAAGAUCAAAA